GAUGAACGCUGGCGGCGUGCCUAAUACAUGCAAGUCGAGCGAACAGACGAGGAGCUUGCUCCUCUGACGUUAGCGGCGGACGGGUGAGUAACACGUGGAUAACCUACCUAUAAGACUGGGAUAACUUCGGGAAACCGGAGCUAAUACCGGAUAAUAUAUUGAACCGCAUGGUUCAAUAGUGAAAGACGGUUUUGCUGUCACUUAUAGAUGGAUCCGCGCCGCAUUAGCUAGUUGGUAAGGUAACGGCUUACCAAGGCAACGAUGCGUAGCCGACCUGAGAGGGGUAUCGGCCACACUUGAACUUAGACACGGUCCAGACUCCUACGGGAGGCAGCAGUAGGGAAUCUUCCGCAAUGGGCGAAAGCCUUACGGAGCAACGCCGGGUGAGUGAUGAAGGUCUUCGGAUCGUAAAACUCUGGUAUUAGGGAAGAACAAAAGUGUAAGUAACUAUGCACGUCUUGACGGUACCUAAUCAGAAAGCCACGGCUAACUACGGG
Molecule: ribosomal RNA, 497 nt
Filed under: uncultured bacterium
Lineage: Bacteria
Description: partial 16S ribosomal RNA
Rfam family: Bacterial small subunit ribosomal RNA
Source: RNAcentral